Molecule: ribosomal RNA, 405 nt
Filed under: uncultured bacterium
Lineage: Bacteria
Description: bacterial SSU rRNA
Rfam family: Bacterial small subunit ribosomal RNA
Source: RNAcentral
AGUGAACGCUGGCGGCAGGCCUAACACAUGCAAGUCGAACGGCAGCACGGCAGUAGCAAUACUGUGGGUGGCGAGUGGCGGACGGGUGAGGAAUACAUCGGGAUCUACCCUGUUGUGGGGGAUAACGUAGGGAAACUUACGCUAAUACCGCAUAAGAACUGAGGUUGAAAGCGGCGGACCGCAAGGCGUCGCGCGAUUGGAUGAACCGAUGUCCGAUUAGCUAGUUGGCGGGUAAAGGCCCACCAAGGCGACGAUCGGUAGCUGGUCUGAGAGGACGACCAGCCACACUGGAACUGAGACACGGUCCAGACUCCUACGGGAGGCAGCAGUGGGGAAUAUUGGACAAUGGGCGCAAGCCUGAUCCAGCCAUGCCGCGUGGGUGAAGAAGGCCUCGGUUGUAAGACC